Molecule: non-coding RNA, 2776 nt
Organism: Callithrix jacchus (white-tufted-ear marmoset)
Lineage: Eukaryota; Metazoa; Chordata; Mammalia; Primates; Cebidae
Source: RefSeq, a predicted model, not a curated record
AGCUAGGAAAAAAAAACAAAACACAAAAUAUAACAGCACCUGGUUAUAUAACACAUAAUUUGAAAAUGGCUCACUCUUGUCUAUUUCAAUUUCAGCAAACAUUAUGGAAUGUCCAUUAUGUCUGAGGCUAUGGAGGAUGAUGGGAAAGUGCCUAAUAUCUAGAGUGGAAAGAGGCAUGGACCCCCAAACCCCAAAAUCUAAAACAUACAAUUUUAAGUGGCAAAAAUGAAACCUAAGCAGAGUGUUAUGGGAAAGGCUUCAUAAUGGUAGUAACUGUCUCCUGAGCCUUAAAAGAUAGGGGUAGGGCUAGAGAGUAUUCUAUGCUGGAAUACAUGUACCAUGUACCAGAGAUACGAUUAUGGCUGGCAUGUAAAUUAUCACAGGCUUCUAAAAGGGACAAAUUAGAGUUUGGGCUUUUGUAGGAAAUGUGAUCCAGUGAAGGUGCAGAAGAAUGAAAUGAGGCAGUUAAGUGGCAGCAGUGUGUACAAUACGUUUGCGAGAUGAGGGAUACUAGAUAGGAAGUGGUUUGAAGCAUCUGGGUGGGAAAUGAUCAGGUUCUGAAUUAGAGCAGUGGAGGUGAAAAGUGGGUAGACUGGAGAGAUGCUAGAGAGGUUAACAUGCAGGGGAAACCAGGAGAACUGUCCUUUGCUCAUCACGAACCUCUAGACCUGUGCUGUCCAGUACGACAGCCAGCCAACAUAUUAUUGAGCACUUAAAAUGUGGCUCAUCCAAAUCAAGAUGUGCUGUAAAUAUAAGAUACACAAUUGAUUUCUAAGACUUAGUAUAAAAAAAUAAAAUGUAAAAAUAUCUUAAUUGCUACAGAUUACAUAUAGAAAUGAUAUUUUGGAUAUACUGGGUUAUAUUAAUUAUUUAAAUGAUUUUUUUCGUUUUAAAUGUGGUCAUCAGGAAACAGAAUUGCAUAUGCUUUUGCAUUACUGGAGAGUGCUGCUCUAGAAGAAACCCACAGGGAAGAAGCCCAGAAGACAGGGAGUUUUGUCAUGAACACUUUGAGCCCUUCUCUCUACUCCUUUAUUCCUAUUCGAGGAAGUCAAGGAGGUAAAAUCACCAGAAAGGCCUGCAAUAGGGAAGUGCAUGCAGUUAACAGCUUCACGAGCUGCGGCAGGGAAGGUAUGUGCAAUUUUGGCUAGGAGGGCAGGGCCUCCCUACUUUUGCAUUCUAUGCUUUUUAGUUAUCAAGUAGAAUAAUUCCGUCAACACCACUUGUUUUUUUCCUUUAUAACAUUUUGGCCACGGUCCAAGGCUAAGUUUUAAACUGCCCCUGACCUAGUAAAAUAAUAAUAUAUAAGAACAACUGCUGCUGCUGCAACUCAGCUUAUUCCCUGUGGACACAGACAUGUGUGAUGCCUUGGCUUUUGGGUGUCAGCUCUAGGUACUGGGAGUUAGUACUGGAAUAGCUGUGUGCAUAGGCAGAUUCCACUCCUCUGGAAGCACAAUGAACGCUUAAUGGAGAUUUCUCCAAAGAAGUUUAAGAUUUGCCUCCUGAUAAACCUGAGGUCAAGAUUCUUUUCAUUGUAUGUUUUAUCCAUCCACAUGCCACUACGACUUUACUACCUACCAAUUGGUAGGAGCUGUGUGGGUUGUGUCUAGACCAUGACACAACUCAGGUUGAGACUGGGCAGAAUGAGACAUUGAAGGAGGAAAGAUUUGAAGUUCUAAUUUCUUUAGAACUUACGUUCUUUAUGGAAAUAAUUGGGAAGAAGUUCAGGUUGCUCAUCUUAGGUAUUUUCUAUUGCUGCCAUUCACUUGGUGUUUUUUUUUUUUUGUUUUUGUGUGGUGCUCACUGUACAACCUCCUCUGACAAAGUAUUUGGCUAUGAGUGGAGGUGGUAAGUAGAACAGGGAAUGAAUUUCAGCCUUGGGAGAAACUUAACUUGAAGCUACAGUGAUGAAUAUCCUACCCUACCAUUUGAUUAUCUGCAGGUGCCAGGGUGACACAAAAAGUAUAGUGGAAGGUCUCAGGGGAGUGGACUCGUGGAAGUGGUGUUGGCCUGUCUUGACAUAGUGAUAGUUGUCUCCUCAAGGGGCACAGUCACACCAAUAAAAGGAAAACAUACUGGUGUGGAUUGGUAGAUCUGUGUUUGUUUCCCCACUUUAUAUUUCUAUAGGGAGGGGGAUGACUGUGUAAGUAGGAGGAGAACAUUAAAAUAAUCACUGCUUGUUACCUCCUUGCUUCUUGUGUGCCCUCUACAAGGAAGGACUGGCUAACUCUGAAUGUGACAUUCUCUGGGUCACAUUACCAGAGAAUGUGUCUCUUCUUUUCUCACUCAACAUGUUCUAUGCACAUUAAAGAAUGAAUGUGCAUAGAACAUGUUGAGUGAGAAAAGAAGAGAGCCAUGGUACAACCUUAGGGGAAUACCAACUCUUAAGAGGCAGAUGAAUGAAGAGAAGCCAAUGGAAAAGGGUCACUGAGAAAGAAGAAUCAGGAGCAGGAGAUGUUUUGAAAGCUGACAAGAGAGAAUUUAAGGAAGUAGUCGACCUUGGAAAUGCUAUAAAAGGAUUGAGAAUCAAUUGUCUUUAGCAAUUUGGCAGUUUACAGAGAACUGAACUGAUGAAAAGAAGGCAAGAGCCAUUAAUACAGAGUUUUUGAAGGAGCUUGGUUGGUGAAUGUUUGGUAUAUCGUUGGUGUUCAAUAAAUAUUUGUAGAAUGAAUGAAAGGAAAGGGAAGUGGAAUCUCGGAGAAGCGGCAGCUUCAAUGAAGGUAGAUUUUUUAACAGUUUGUAAACUGUGGAAAAGGGCCAGUGGGGAAGGAGUAAUCUA